Molecule: small RNA, 1813 nt
Filed under: Prunus dulcis (almond)
Lineage: Eukaryota; Viridiplantae; Streptophyta; Magnoliopsida; Rosales; Rosaceae
Description: sRNA ncRNA
Source: RNAcentral
CUUGAAUUAUAGGGCAACAAAAAUGUUUUCUCUCAACAAUUUCAUGCCGGAAACGGCGUCGUCUAUGUUCUCAGCCUAUGCCUCCUUUGCAACCUUCAUGAUGAUCUUCCGUUCCAUGGCCAACGACUUCAUCCCGGACCCUCUCCGCACCUAUAUUUCCUCCUCCCUCAGUUACCUUUUUAGCCCUCUCUCCGGCCUCUUCUCUUUUUACCUCACUCUCGCCUUCUACGAGUACUCCGACAUGUCCCGCAACCAAGUCUACGAUGCCGCCGCGGUCUACCUCGAGAAAAAGAUCGGCCCCGCCACGCAGCGUCUCCGCAUCAGCAAAACGCCCCGGAAGAAGUCCAUGGGCGUCGCCAUCGACAGAGACGAGGAAGUCAUCGACACGUUCGACAACAUCAAGCUCAAGUGGCUGCUAGUCACCGAAACAAAGACCGGGAACAACAACAGGCUGCGCUACUUUGAGCUGUCGUUCCGCAAGAAACACAAGGAAAGAGUGAUGGGCAGCUACUUGCCCCACGUGCUUGCCCAGGCAACCGCCAUGAAGCAAGAAGAAAAGGUUCUCAAGAUUUAUAAACGUCAUAUCUUGUCAUGGGAGGACGUCGUUGAGGAUGGCAACACUGAAUGGGGAUCCAUAAACAUGGAGCACCGGGCUACGUUUGAGACAAUGGCGCUGGAGCCAGAUCUCAAGAAAACCAUUGUAGAGGAUUUGGAGAGGUUUGUGAGUAGGAGGGAGUUUUACAAGAAGGUGGGCAAGGCUUGGAAAAGAGGCUACUUGUUGUAUGGCCCGGCCGGCACCGAAAAAUCCAGCCUGAUUGCGGCCAUGGCUAAUUUUCUCAAGUUUGAUGUGUUUGAUUUGGAGCUUGCUAGCAUUCGCAGCGACUCUCAUUUGAAGAGGGUUUUGUUGUCUACCACAAACCGUUCCAUUUUGGUCAUUGAGGACAUUGACUGCUGUAAGGUGGAUGUUCAAAAACGAAAACUUGAUUUGGAUUCAGAUUCAGAUUCAGAUUCGUAUUCUGAUUCGAUUCGGAUUUGGAAACGGAGAAGAAGUCGAAACCUAAUACUAAGACCGGGGUCAGUAUACUUUAUAUUUGUUUGUUAUAUAUUUUGGUGUUAUAGAAUCAAUCAAUAUGUUGCAUGAUGCAGGUGACGCUCUCGGGCUUGUUGAACUUCAUUGAUGGUUUGUGGUCAAGCUGCGGUGAUGAGAGAAUAAUUGUCUUCACCACCAACCGCAAGGAGAAGCUUGACCCUGCAUUGCUACGUCCUGGCCGAAUGGACCUCCACAUCCACUUGUCGUAUUGCACGACAAGUGGGUUCAGGAUCUUAGCCUCUAACUACCUCGGAAUUCGUGACGACAACCGCCCUCGCCUCUGUGGUGAAGUGGAAGGGUUGAUAAAGAGCACAGAGGGGACACCUGCAGAGGUUGCGGAGGAGCUCAUGAAGAGUGAUGAUGCUGAUGUUGCUCUUCAGGGACUUGUCAAUUUCAUCAUCAAGAAGAAGAUUGAGACUGAGAGGUACAUGAACAAAUUGAAAACCAAGAAGAAACGACGUCGUAGAAGACGGAUCAGAAACUUGUUCAACUUCCAUCUUUCGUGAUUUUGAUUUUCCCACAUAUGACUUUGUGUGUAUGCGGUUGGGACUUUGCUUAUUUGUUUAACAAAAAUUUGUUAUGAAUGUUGGGUUUUGUAAAUUUGUAUCUGAAUGGUCCAAUGAAUUUUGGAACUGUGGAAAUGGGCUUUGUCAAAUUCAGAGGAAAGCAUCAGGGUGAGAGAAAAGUUCUUUGAGCAACUACAGUCUCCUCUCUCUCUGUCUC